RNAcentral lists this ribosomal RNA (432 nucleotides) under uncultured bacterium. RNAcentral's name for it is "partial 16S ribosomal RNA". It matches the Rfam family "Bacterial small subunit ribosomal RNA", at positions 28 to 507 of the family's 1533-position model. The record is from RNAcentral.
GAUGAACGCUGGCGGUAUGCUUAACACAUGCAAGUCGAACGGUACCUUCGGGUAUAGUGGCGGACGGGUGAGUAACGCGUGAGAAUCUAUCUUCAGGUCGGGGACAACAGUUAGAAAUGACUGCUAAUACCGGAUGUGCCGAAAGGUAAAAGAUUUAUUGCCUGAAAAAGAGCUCGCGUCAGAUUAGCUAGUAGGUGGUGUAAGAGACUACCUAGGCUUCGAUCUGUAGCUGGUCUGAGAGGACGAUCAGCCACACUGGAACUGAGACACGGUCCAGACUCCUACGGGAGGCAGCAGUGGGGAAUUUUCCGCAAUGGGCGAAAGCCUGACGGAGCAAUACCGCGUGAGAGACGAAGGCUCUUGGGUCGUAAACCUCUUUUCUCAAGGAAGAUUCAGACGGUACUUGAGGAAUAAGCAUCGGCUAACUCUGUG